AGGGCUGGAGCUCAGUGGGACAGCAUCUGCUUUGCAUGUAUAAGGUCCCAGGUUCAACCCCUGACAGCUCCA
This is a non-coding RNA of Podarcis lilfordi (Lilford's wall lizard), 72 nucleotides long. NCBI's taxonomy places the organism in Eukaryota, Metazoa, Chordata, Lepidosauria, Squamata, Lacertidae. The record is from the annotation of a GenBank genome assembly.